CCUGCGGCGGAAUGAAUUUUCCGAAAAUGGGCUGUUGCGCAGCGCGACCAUGCUGCGCGGGAACGACCUAACGUUCCCGACUGUGAGCCUCACGGCUCCCUGAGCGCCACGACCCCGAAAAGGUCGUGGCGCCCGGGUC
This 139-nucleotide small RNA is filed under the name Paraburkholderia fungorum. Its description in RNAcentral is "sbcD RNA". It matches the Rfam family "sbcD RNA". Lineage: Bacteria; Pseudomonadati; Pseudomonadota; Betaproteobacteria; Burkholderiales; Burkholderiaceae. The record is from RNAcentral.